RNAcentral lists this transfer RNA (75 nucleotides) under Nitrososphaerota archaeon. RNAcentral describes it as "tRNA-Arg". It matches the Rfam family "tRNA". From Rfam's summary of the family: Transfer RNA (tRNA) molecules are approximately 80 nucleotides in length. Their secondary structure includes four short double-helical elements and three loops (D, anti-codon, and T loops). Lineage: Archaea; Thermoproteati; Nitrososphaerota. The record is from RNAcentral. RNAcentral also lists the same sequence under 1 other name.
GCGCCGGUGGCUCAGCUUGGAUAGAGCAGCGGCUUCCUAAGCCGCUUGUCGUGGGUUCGAAUCCCACCCGGCGCG